UACAUGGGGUGCAAACGUUGCUCGGAAUUAUUGGGCGUAAAGCGCACGUAGGUGGUCUGUUAUGUCAGAUGUGAAAGCCCUCGGCUUAACUGAGGAAGUGCACCUGAAACUGGCAGGCUUGAGUACGAAAGAGGGUCGCGGAAUUCCCGGUGUAGAGGUGAAAUUCGUAGAUAUCGGGAGGAACACCGGUGGCGAAGGCGGCCUGCUGGGCUAUGGCUGACACUGAGGCGCGACAGCGUGGGGAGCAAACAGG
Molecule: ribosomal RNA, 253 nt
Filed under: uncultured bacterium
Lineage: Bacteria
Description: partial 16S ribosomal RNA
Rfam family: Bacterial small subunit ribosomal RNA
Source: RNAcentral